UUGAUUCAUAAAUGUAGCCAAGAUGCAACGCGGUGGUCGACGGCGGCGGCCUGCUCCCAAGUUGCAGGUGCGUGCAUGGACAUCUUCAUGAUUACUGAUUAUAAGAUCUUCAUGAUUACUGAUUAUAAGUGAACACACGUAUCUUCUCUCGAGGUUCUGAGUGUUGAGAGUGGUUGCUCAUUGUUUCUGUAUUCAAAUACUGAUGAAUCAACACUUCCAAAAGAUAUACUGAUGGCCAAAGAAGAUUGGGGAAGUUCCACUAUGUUCCUACAGACUGUUGGCCAAAAAAGAUUGGGGGAAAAUAGCUCUGGAGAAGGAUUGAGAUGAAAAUGGGAUUGGGA
Long non-coding RNA from Triticum dicoccoides, 341 nucleotides. RefSeq lists it as uncharacterized. Lineage: Eukaryota; Viridiplantae; Streptophyta; Magnoliopsida; Poales; Poaceae. The transcript has 3 exons. The record is from RefSeq and is a predicted model, not a curated record.